AUUAGUUUUAUUUUUAAGAUGGAAACACCCAAUCAAAGCACAUUUUUGGUUUCCUUCAAAAAUAGUAUAAUGCAUCUUUAUUUAUUAAACGAGGUAUAAUUAUAAAAAAUUGCUGCGCUAUUAAAAACCAGAAAAGGAAGUAAUAUUAUCAUCAUAAGGUAGAUUAAGCGAAGAAAUUGGAUGUGUCCGGAUGUAAUGAAUGAUCUAUAGAUGUAACUCGGGAUUUAACAAUGGGACUUGGUAAACGUAGGCAGGAGGACCCACCCAAACAAAAAUUAUCCUUUACUUCAUUGAACUACACACGUACUAAACUAACAUUAUACACCCUUCACUUGAGGUGGGUGAAACCAGUUUGGGAGGUCAGGGUCACGAUUUCUCUAUUAAUUAGUGUAAUAGUUAGUAGUCUUUUCUUUACUUUUCGUUUAAACGAAGCGAUAACAGCGUUUCUUAGAAAUGACAAUCGUAAACCUCAUAAUUAUAAGUCGAUUUUAACACCAUCAUAUACUGUUUGAUUAUAUUAAAAAAUAUAUAUAUAUAGCUAAGGAAUGUUAUUUUCUUGAUUACUUUUAUACUAUAAUCGACACCUACACAGAAAUCUGAAUUAUU
Molecule: long non-coding RNA, 606 nt
Filed under: Androctonus crassicauda
Lineage: Eukaryota; Metazoa; Arthropoda; Arachnida; Scorpiones; Buthidae
Source: RNAcentral